Molecule: long non-coding RNA, 811 nt
Organism: Beta vulgaris subsp. vulgaris (sugar beet)
Lineage: Eukaryota; Viridiplantae; Streptophyta; Magnoliopsida; Caryophyllales; Amaranthaceae
Exons: 4
Source: RefSeq, a predicted model, not a curated record
UCUAAACUCAAGUUUAGUUUCAAAUUCGUUUCUUUUAUUUAUCUAUUUCGAUUUUGGGUAUGUUGUUAAAUUAGGGUUCUUGAACAAUUGAAUUGAAGAAAUUAAAUGUGAAUUAUCGGAAAAUUCAGGGAUGUUACACACACUCUCUUUCUCUCCUCUCUCCUUUCUCCUAGCCUCCCAUAUUUUAGAUCUAUAUGCACAGUCUCUCUCCUACAUUUCUAUCUAUUUCGUUAUGUAAAUCGUAUUUAUAUGUGGUUAUGACCUGCAUAAGGUAUGAUUUAAUUGUUUGUUGCAUUUCUAGUAAUGACGUUUAAUUCUUUGAUUGGGAAUUGUAUUAUAAUCUUUAUUUAAGUGGCCUGGUUCUGUUACAAAUGCAUUUGAUUGCAGACUAGAGUUUAUAUGUGGUUUUACGAAUGCAUUCCAUUGCAGCAUUCUGGUCUUCUCAUUGACCCCGAAACCUGCAGUAAUAGAUGAAAGAGGUGACCAUAUUUAUAUAGGUACGACAGGUGGAGGCUGGCAUUUCUUUUAAUCUUUGAAGUGGUAUACUGGCUAUUGCUUGCUUCCUACAUCUAAAAUAUGUCACAGUGGUCUUCAAAUGCAAGGUUUCAUUGCCCUUGAUCACUUGGAAUUAUAUUGAGAAAGCAUACUUAAUCAUUUUUUUAUUGUUGUUUUUUUAUCUUGAACGAUUCCUGUAUUAUCACUUAGUCUUGAUUAGUAUUUUAUUUUUGUUUUUGAUAGGGAGAUGUAUCAUAUUUUGAUGUAAAUGUAUAAUGUACUAGAGAAAAUGAAAUACAACUUGUAGUAUUGUGUU